RNAcentral lists this unclassified non-coding RNA (193 nucleotides) under uncultured fungus. Its description in RNAcentral is "partial contains 18S rRNA, ITS1, 5.8S rRNA, ITS2 and 28S rRNA". The record is from RNAcentral. Lineage: Eukaryota; Fungi.
AAGGAUCAUUACGAAAUUCGGCGCGCUUCGGCGCUGCCUUAUUCACCCACCCUUUGUCUACGUGUACCUCUAUAGCUUCCUCGGCGGGCUCGCCCGCCGCCAGGAACCCACGAAACCCCUUGCAUUAUACACGAAAACUUCUGAUAACAAACCUAAAUUAUUACAACUUUCAACAAUGGAUCUCUUGGUUCUG